This 253-nucleotide ribosomal RNA is filed under the name uncultured bacterium. RNAcentral's name for it is "partial 16S ribosomal RNA". It matches the Rfam family "Bacterial small subunit ribosomal RNA", at positions 524 to 776 of the family's 1533-position model. The record is from RNAcentral.
UACGGGGGGGGCAAGCGUUGUUCGGAAUUACUGGGCGUAAAGGGCUCGUAGGCGGCCAACUAAGUCCGCCGUGAAAUCCCCAGGCUCAACCUGGGAACUGCGUCCGAUACUGGAUGGCUUGAAUCCGGGAGAGGGAUGCAGAAUUCCAGGUGUAGCGGUGAAAUGCGUAGAUAUCUGGAGGAAUACCGGUGGCGAAGGCGGCAUCCUGGACCGGCAUUGACGCUGAGGAGCGAAAGCCAGGGGAGCAAACGGG